Molecule: small RNA, 112 nt
Filed under: Salmonella enterica
Lineage: Bacteria; Pseudomonadati; Pseudomonadota; Gammaproteobacteria; Enterobacterales; Enterobacteriaceae
Also listed under: 1 other name
Description: partial RtT sRNA
Rfam family: RtT RNA
About the family: This family represents a bacterial cis-regulatory element known as RtT RNA. The exact function of RtT is unknown although it is thought that it may be involved in changing the cellular response in relation to amino acid starvation.
Source: RNAcentral
GGUGAGAACCUUCGAUUAAGGUUCGACUCGAGCGAAAGCGAGAGAACGUUGCCAACGGCAACGGCCCGUAGGGUGAGGAGCGAAGCGACGAAUAAUCCUUCCCCCACCACCA